GACGAACGCUGGCGGCGUGCUUAACACAUGCAAGUCGAACGGAAAGGCCCUGCUUUUGUGGGGUGCUCGAGUGGCGAACGGGUGAGUAACACGUGAGUAACCUGCCCUUGACUUUGGGAUAACUUCAGGAAACUGGGGCUAAUACCGGAUAGGAGCUCCUGCUGCAUGGUGGGGGUUGGAAAGUUUCGGCGGUUGGGGAUGGACUCGCGGCUUAUCAGCUUGUUGGUGGGGUAGUGGCUUACCAAGGCUUUGACGGGUAGCCGGCCUGAGAGGGUGACCGGCGACAUUGGGACUGAGAUACGGACCAGACUCCUACGGGAGGCAGCAGUGGGGAAUAUUGCACAAUGGGCGGAAGCCUGAUGCAGCAACGCCGCGUGCGGGAUGACGGCCUUCGGGUUGUAAACAGCUUUCGCCUGUGACGAAGCGUGAGUGACGGUAAUGAGUAAAGAAGCACCGGCUAACUACGUG
This 468-nucleotide ribosomal RNA is filed under the name uncultured bacterium. Its description in RNAcentral is "partial 16S ribosomal RNA". It matches the Rfam family "Bacterial small subunit ribosomal RNA", at positions 28 to 507 of the family's 1533-position model. The record is from RNAcentral.